Molecule: long non-coding RNA, 3025 nt
Filed under: Phaseolus vulgaris (common bean)
Lineage: Eukaryota; Viridiplantae; Streptophyta; Magnoliopsida; Fabales; Fabaceae
Description: long non-coding RNA (PVUL_LNC004001)
Source: RNAcentral
AGGGGGUGAAAGGCGACUGGUCAAUGAUCGUAUAGAGACGACUGGUCGUGCCAACACCUAUAAAUCGAACACGCACUAGAAGGCGGGUGAGACCUGCCCUACUUUGGUUGGGAAUUGCCCGUCAAUUUUUGGAAGCUUCUCCUUCAAGGAGAGGCUCUAUCUUUAGUUAAAUUCUAAAUUUUCUGGAUGAUGAAUAUUUUUUAUGUAGGUUGAAGUAGCUUUUAACCAUGAAAAGGUGAUUUAUGCAUUUCUCCUUGAUACUUUUUACAUCUGGUACUAUUGGACAUUAUGAUCUUUCUUUAGUUGCUGAAUUAAUAGUUGGAUCAUUGCCCUAUAUGUUGGCAUGUAAUGAUCAUUUAUCAUUUUCUUUGAAAGUCUGAACUUGCUAUACAGCUGUCUAGGUGUUUCAUAUAAUUUGAUAUGUUCCUCCUUGGAGUUUGAACUAGAUUCAUCAGAAGGUGCAGAGACAAUAUGCAUGAUUUUACCUGGAGGAUAAAAACAAUAGCUAUCUACUAGAUCAGAUGUUAAGAUUGAAUUGCUAGUAUCAACAAGAUGAUCUUCCUCAAUUAUCUCUUUUGCUUUAGCUGCCUCGUCUACCUGAUUUUGGAUGUUUAAUAUAUUCUGUUUUUCUAGCUCAUUCCACAAUUCACCUUCUGUAAUGUGUUCAUUGGCAUCAAUGACUGGCUCCUCUUCAUCUACUACAUCAAGUCCAAAUCUUUCACUUGAGGAGUUUGGUUCAUCUUUAUUAAGCAUAAACACACUUUCAGUCAAGAGAGAUUUACUUAUAUUUUUUGGUCCAAGAGACAUGUUGACCAAGUUAUUUAAUUUAGAUUUUGACAAUGGACCAAUAUUCUGAGUGUGUGCAGCCAUAGUUUUGACAACAGCUUUUGCAACACCUCGUGCAUGCUUUAUCACAACCUGCAGGUAAAUAGCAGGAUCCUUCUGUAAGAUAAAAUAUACACAUGGAAAAAGGCCCACGCAAAGGAGGUAUACAAUAAUAAAAACAGUCUGAGUAUUAGGAUCACUGCAAAUAUAAUUGAUCACCUAACUGUUCUUAAUAAUGUAUGAUUUUAUAACUGCUUUAUAAGAAUACUAAAAUGUCAAAUAGAGACGAGGAAUUUACCUCGGUACUACUGGUUACAGGCAGUAGAAUUGCACCUACACCAGUUACUUUGUCUUUUGCACUUAUAGAUUGUAAGUGAGACCCAAGAAUACUUGCUGAGCGAUAUAUGACAUUCAGAACUUUUGUAUGUUCAACCUGAUCCCAUAAAUCAUUGAACCAAGAUGAUGCAGCAACCUAACAAAACUAACUUGAGUAAAGAACAAAGCAUCAUCUAAUAGAUAACAUUAGAAACAAACUAAUUAAAAUUAAUAUGUACUCAAAUAUUGAAAGUUGGGAGAACCAGCUGAAGCACCUCAGAACGAAGAUCAUCAACAGAGAAAGCUGAUAAUGUGGGCACCAAGUCGGAAUUAUUUAUAAUGGUGGUGAUAAAGUGCUUCCCUGAUUCAGCUAACUCCCAUGUCAUACAAGCAGCUGAAAAAGACAAUAUGAUAGAUUGCAUCACAAAAAUAAGCAUCCUUACUUAAAACAGAAUAUAGCUACAUGCCAUACAUAUAAAUACAUAUCACACUAAAUAGCUAUCUAAAUCUCAUAGGCAUUUAUCAAAAUAACAAUGUUGAGCAUAUAAAUUUGAAAUCACAUAUUGUAGUCCCAAACUGAUUAGACAAUAGCUCCAGCUUCUUUCCAACACUAACAUAUUUUUCAGCAUUAUGAAAUGAAAAAAUAAUUCAUCAUAACUUAAGAGACAAUUAGUGUUACUUCUCAAUUCAAUAACUUCAAAUGUAAAAUUAGUAUGAUCAUGCCUGGAGCAAAUGUGACACAGGUGCUUGAAGAUAACUCUUUUUGUUCCCUAAGAAUAUAAGUCAACAGUGAUGCAGUACCACCACCAAGUGAGUGUCCAACAAUCUGUGGUAUUCCAAAAAAGACAAGAAUAUACUAUGAGUAGUGUGAUUAUAUAACAUGAUUUGAAAGAAAAACAUUAAAAAAAAUGUCAUUCUAGUGAAAGGAUGGAAAAAGUUAAGACAUAAACAAAUGAAAGAAAGAACUGAACAUUUCAAAAUUCAGGGCUGUAGCAUCGUAAUAUUCUUAGAAGAAUAAUAUAGAACAGUACCUUGACUUUUGAGUCUGGACAUUCAUCAAGAGCCUUAAGUAAUGUAGGAGUGCAGACUUUUGCAAUCCAACGAGCUGCAGCAACCAUACCACAGUGUGCAUGUCCUAAAACCAAGUUACUUAUCUGUCCAUCAUUAAGAAUGGAAUGGUGAAAAGGAACCAUAGCACCAGUUGCAGCUGUCAGUGUGUCUUUUAUGCUAUGAGUUCCCCUGAUCAAUAGAAGGAAACAUCUUGAUUGCAUAUCAUGUAUAAUAGUGAAAGCGGGCUUCAGAAGCUGCAGGUUUCAUGACAUUAAAUCAGUUUUCAGUUACAGUUGAGCAAUAAAUUGAACAAUGACAUGUGCAUAACAGUUCAGCAACUGAAACACAAAAUUAAGAUAAAAUAACCGAAUAAAGAAAAGAAAAUAAAUUACCAAUGCACAUUUAGCAUGAGAAGUAUAAAUUAACUUGUGCAUCUGUCAAACCAUGUCAGAAUUAUAGGAUUUGUCAACUCAGAAUGGACAUGACCAACCAUCACCAUGAAUUCGGGACUGCUACUCCCAUUGAGCUAGGAUGUUUUUUAAAAGAUGAUCAAGGGUAAUGAAGAAUUGUGAACAAAGGGCCAGACAUGUAUUAUGAGGCUUUGCUCUAGGAAGCACCAACACAAAAUCCAUUGAUAUGGUGCAUGUAUGACACUUACACUGACCUGGCUGUGACACACGCGACACAGGCAAGACAGGGCACACACCAAGACACUCAUUCUUGGCUACACCUCCUACACUUCUACUAUAAAAAUAAAAGCCAACAUAUAUUACUUUAUUUUAUAAAGUUGUUUGACAACUAUGUUUCUUAGCAUUUCUUUUAGGCUCAUUAUUAC